Rhodospirillales bacterium 69-11 is the source of this 54-nucleotide non-coding RNA. The record is from Rfam. NCBI's taxonomy places the organism in Bacteria, Pseudomonadati, Pseudomonadota, Alphaproteobacteria, Rhodospirillales.
AGACGGAACCGGGCCCCUCUGGCAUGCGACCCCGUGCCAUGUCGGACCGUCACG